This 789-nucleotide unclassified non-coding RNA is filed under the name Hevea brasiliensis (rubber tree). Lineage: Eukaryota; Viridiplantae; Streptophyta; Magnoliopsida; Malpighiales; Euphorbiaceae. The record is from RNAcentral.
UUUUAACACAAGACGAGGCCGUUUCAUCAGAAUUUACUACAAAUACGAAUAAAUACAUAAAUUAAGAAAAAUGUGCAACAAUAUAUUAGUAACUGCACAGUAGCCUGAGAAAGGAUUAGAAGUUCAAUGGUAUCGAAGUAAGCAAUCUUCAUCCCUAAGUGUAGUAAGUCGAGCAGAAACUGAUACACGCGUAUUCUGAUAAACGUAGAGAUGCAUGAUGAUUGAUUUAUGGGUGAAUGAAGCGCGUCCGUGUCCACCACUGAAUCUCUUCUGUUUUUUUCUUAUGAGUCGCGGAGACGAGCCUUGAUUGGAGAUGCAUGUCUACAUCAUUGUCUGCUAUCGUUGUGAUUUAGGCCCUCGACGAAGUUCAGAUCUAGACUUAGCUACUUCUACAAAAAUUACCCUGCCAUCCAGAAACUUGCCAUGCAUUCCCUCAAUUGCCUUCUGUGAUUCUUCCUCCGUAGCAUAACGAAUGAAAGCAAAUCCUCUUGGUCUGUUUGCUAUUUUGUCCAUCAUCAAAUUGACUUCAACGAGCUCUCCGAAAUGGUUGAAGGCUUUUCUUAAGCUUUCUUCAGUUGUGCGAAACGAGAGUCCGCUAACAAAGAGCUUAGUUGAGGAAUUGAAAUUGACCGGAGUCGCUGAGAAAGAAGACUGAGCAUAACAAGCUGAUACAAUUUGGGGAUAACGAAUACUUAUUAGUGAGUGUGAAGAAAGAAGAUGCUUCGAUUCUUUUCUAAUGGAAUACGAAGACAAUGGCAGCGUACUCCGGCGCUACUCUGUAUGCAAAGU